This 510-nucleotide ribosomal RNA is filed under the name uncultured bacterium. RNAcentral describes it as "partial 16S ribosomal RNA". It matches the Rfam family "Bacterial small subunit ribosomal RNA", at positions 28 to 507 of the family's 1533-position model. The record is from RNAcentral.
GACGAACGCUGGCGGCGUGCUUAACACAUGCAAGUCGAACGAAGAGCGAUGGAAGCUUGCUUCUAUCAAUCUUAGUGGCGAACGGGUGAGUAACGCGUAAUCAACCUGCCCUUCAGAGGGGGACAACAGUUGGAAACGACUGCUAAUACCGCAUACGAUCUAAUCUCGGCAUCGAGGAUAGAUGAAAGGUGGCCUCUACAUGUAAGCUAUCACUGAAGGAGGGGAUUGCGUCUGAUUAGCUAGUUGGAGGGGUAACGGCCCACCAAGGCGAUGAUCAGUAGCCGGUCUGAGAGGAUGAACGGCCACAUUGGGACUGAGACACGGCCCAGACUCCUACGGGAGGCAGCAGUGGGGAAUCUUCCGCAAUGGACGGAAGUCUGACGGAGCAACGCCGCGGGAGUGAUGACGGCCUUCGGGUUGUAAAGCUCUGUUAGUCGGGACGAAAGGCCUUCUUGCGAAUAGUGAGAAGGAUUGACGGUACCGGAAUAGAAAGCCACGGCUAACUACGUG